RNAcentral lists this ribosomal RNA (459 nucleotides) under uncultured bacterium. Its description in RNAcentral is "SSU rRNA". It matches the Rfam family "Bacterial small subunit ribosomal RNA", at positions 26 to 518 of the family's 1533-position model. The record is from RNAcentral.
AGAAUCAACGCUGGCGGCGUGCCUAACACAUGCAAGUCGAACGAGAAAGUGGAGCAAUCCAUGAGUAAAGUGGCGCACGGGUGAGUAACACGUGACUAACCUACCCUUGAGUGGGGGAUAACCUCGGGAAACCGGGGCUAAUACCGCAUAACAUCGAGAGAUCAAAGGAGCAAUUCGCUUAAGGAGGGGGUCGCGGCUGAUUAGCUAGUUGGUGAGGUAAUGGCUCACCAAGGCUAUGAUCAGUAUCCGGCCUGAGAGGGCGCACGGACACACUGGAACUGAAACACGGUCCAGACUCCUACGGGAGGCAGCAGUGGGGAAUUUUGCGCAAUGGGGGAAACCCUGACGCAGCAACGCCGCGUGGAGGAUGAAGUCCCUUGGGACGUAAACUCCUUUCGAUCGGGACGAUAAUGACGGUACCGGAAGAAGAAGCCCGGCUAACUUCGUGCCAGCAGCCGC